RNAcentral lists this ribosomal RNA (253 nucleotides) under uncultured bacterium. Its description in RNAcentral is "partial 16S ribosomal RNA". It matches the Rfam family "Bacterial small subunit ribosomal RNA", at positions 524 to 776 of the family's 1533-position model. The record is from RNAcentral.
GACAGAGGGUGCAAACGUUGUUCGGAAUUACUGGGCGUAAAGCGCGUGUAGGCAGCCUCGCAAGUCGGAUGUGAAAGCCCUGGGCUCAACCUAGGAAGUGCAUUCGAAACUGCAAGGCUGGAGUCCUGGAGAGGAAGGCGGAAUUCUCGGUGUAGAGGUGAAAUUCGUAGAUAUCGAGAGGAACACCGGUGGCGAAGGCGGCCUUCUGGACAGUGACUGACGCUGAGACGCGAAAGCGUGGGGAGCAAACAGG